UUUCAGAGGUAUUCAAGUGGUAAGAUGUUAACAGGAGAGUUGAAACAGGAAUUAAUUACCGUUCUGCAAAAGCUUGUUGGGGAGCACAGGAAGAGACGAGCAGACGUCACUGAUACCUUAGUGAAUGAAUACAUGAAAUCAAGGAAAUUGAAAUUUGACUAUUAAACAUACAUUUAAUGAUCAAUUUUCAUCAAAUUAACAGAACUCUUGUUUUAACAGAACACUGGUUAAUAUGAUUAUUGUAUAUUGUUAUUAAAAUAAAAAGACAUUUGUUUAGACCACAGCCAAAAUUAAUCAAUCUACAUUUAAUACAUUGAAACGGUGAGAUGAAUGUUGUAUUAUAUUUAAAUAUACCAUAUUUGAAUUUACAUCGGUAUAGUAAAAUAUGUUGUUCUGGUUGUCUCUCUUUUCUAAUAUUUGACUUUUUUCUGGUAUAGAUUAAGAUUUUAGUAAACUGCUUUCAUAAUUAUUUCCUCUGAACUUUAUAUACUAAACAAUAAUUGAAUGGAGUAUAUGAUGUAUAUGUAAUCUUUAUGAUUAAAUCAUUUUUCU
RNAcentral lists this long non-coding RNA (552 nucleotides) under Mytilus galloprovincialis (Mediterranean mussel). The record is from RNAcentral. Lineage: Eukaryota; Metazoa; Mollusca; Bivalvia; Mytilida; Mytilidae.